AAAAAAUAGGGAGGCAAACACGUUAUAUGUGACUGUGAGAUAGUAAAGUACUGCAAAAGCUUGAGGUUCAACUCGGCUGCUAAGAUCCAAUGAAUGACAAGUAUUCACGCAUCCUUCAAGUGGAAGACUAGUCCUUUCAGGUACGGAGCAAUAAGGUUUAGUCCUCUUCAGAAGUUGCACCUUCAGGGCACAAACCUUUAUCCUCCCCUAGGACUAGGAGCAAAGAUUGCUUAGCACUAUGCCUAACUCCUAGAGGGUAUCCCUCCCUCUUGUCAUUAACAUAAUAAUAAACUAUUGGUUUCCAGAUA
Molecule: long non-coding RNA, 308 nt
Organism: Vigna radiata var. radiata (mung bean)
Lineage: Eukaryota; Viridiplantae; Streptophyta; Magnoliopsida; Fabales; Fabaceae
Exons: 2
Source: RefSeq, a predicted model, not a curated record